This 322-nucleotide signal recognition particle RNA is filed under the name Pan troglodytes (chimpanzee). It matches the Rfam family "Metazoan signal recognition particle RNA". Rfam says of the family: The signal recognition particle (SRP) is a universally conserved ribonucleoprotein. It is involved in the co-translational targeting of proteins to membranes. Lineage: Eukaryota; Metazoa; Chordata; Mammalia; Primates; Hominidae. The record is from RNAcentral.
GCUGGGCAUGGUGUCGCAUGCCUGUAAUCCCAGCUACUCAGGAGGCUGAGGCAGGAGAAUCGCUUGAACCUGGGAGGUGGAGGUUGCAGUGAGCAGAGAUUGCACCACUGCACUCCUGCCUGGGCAACAGAGCAGGACUCUGUCUUUAAAAAAAAAAAAAAAAAUUCAUCAUCUUGCCUCAGUGGUCUUUAUGUCUUGGUAUACUUCUUUUUUUUUUUUUUUGAGACGGAGUCUCGCUCUGUCGCCCAUGCUGGAGUACAAUGGCGCGAUCUCCGCUCACUGCAAGCUCCGCCUCCCGGGUUCACACCGUUCUCCUGCCUCA